Osmerus eperlanus (European smelt) is the source of this 667-nucleotide long non-coding RNA. RefSeq lists it as uncharacterized. The record is from RefSeq and is a predicted model, not a curated record. Lineage: Eukaryota; Metazoa; Chordata; Actinopteri; Osmeriformes; Osmeridae. The transcript is spliced from 6 exons.
AGGAGAAGAACAAAGAUAAAGACAAGCGUUUCCGUCCCCUCUAUGACAUUCCUUACAUGUUUGAGGCCCGCGAGUUCAUGAGGAAGAAGCUCAGCGGGAAGAAGGUCAACGUGAUGGUGGACUACAUCCGAGCCGCUACCACGGCGACAGAGACCGGCACCGUCCCCGCCUUCCCAGAACGCACCUGUGCCACCGUCACCAUCGGAGGAAUUAACAUAGCAGAGGCGUUGGUGAGUAAAGGUCUGGCUACAGUCAUCAGAUACAGACAGGAUGACGACCAGCGAUCCUCCCACUACGAUCCUCCCACUACGAUGAACUCCUGGCAGCAGAGGCAAGGGCCAUCAAGAAUGGCAAGGGGCUGCACAGCAAGAAGGAAGUUCCAAUCCACAGAGUAGCCGACAUAUCUGGGGACACUCAGAAGGCCAAGCAGUUCCUGCCCUUCCUGCAGAGGGCCGGGCGCUCAGAGGCCGUGGUGGAGUACGUCUUCAGCGGCUCCCGCCUCAAACUCUACAUGCCCAAAGAGACCUGCCUCAUCACCUUCCUUCUGGCAGGCAUCGAGUGUCCCCGUGGCUCCAGGAACAUGCCCAGUGGCCUCCAGGAAGCGGAGCCAUUCAGUGACGAGGCCAUGCUGUUCACCAAAGAGCUCGUCAUGCAGAGAGAGGUGAGG